RNAcentral lists this ribosomal RNA (214 nucleotides) under uncultured bacterium. RNAcentral describes it as "partial 16S ribosomal RNA". It matches the Rfam family "Bacterial small subunit ribosomal RNA", at positions 1288 to 1500 of the family's 1533-position model. The record is from RNAcentral.
UCAGUUCGGAUUGGAGUCUGCAACCCGACUCCAUGAAGCUGGAUUCGCUAGUAAUCGCGCAUCAGCCACGGCGCGGUGAAUACGUUCCCGGGCCUUGUACACACCGCCCGUCACACCAUGGGAGUCGGUAACACCCGAAGCCUGUAGUCUAACCGCAAGGAGGACGCAGUCGAAGGUGGGAUUGAUGACUGGGGUGAAGUCGUAACAAGGUAAC